This 27-nucleotide non-coding RNA is filed under the name Mus musculus (house mouse). The record is from RNAcentral. Lineage: Eukaryota; Metazoa; Chordata; Mammalia; Rodentia; Muridae.
UAAUAAUAAUAGCGCCUGACGUUUAGU